This 111-nucleotide non-coding RNA is filed under the name Paramoeba aestuarina. Lineage: Eukaryota; Discosea; Flabellinia; Dactylopodida; Paramoebidae. The record is from RNAcentral.
UUCUUCACCUCCCCCCCCUAUCUAUCUCCCUUCCUUCCCCCGACUAGGGGGGAGGAGUUCCUUUUUGUCUUCUAUUCCCCCCAGUAUGAGUUAAUAAAGCUGUUUUAUUAC